This 164-nucleotide ribosomal RNA is filed under the name Arctium pallidivirens. RNAcentral's name for it is "5.8S ribosomal RNA". It matches the Rfam family "5.8S ribosomal RNA". From Rfam's summary of the family: 5.8S ribosomal RNA (5.8S rRNA) is a component of the large subunit of the eukaryotic ribosome. It is transcribed by RNA polymerase I as part of the 45S precursor that also contains 18S and 28S rRNA. Lineage: Eukaryota; Viridiplantae; Streptophyta; Magnoliopsida; Asterales; Asteraceae. The record is from RNAcentral.
AAACGACUCUCGGCAACGGAUAUCUCGGCUCAUGCAUCGAUGAAGAACGUAGCAAAAUGCGAUACUUGGUGUGAAUUGCAGAAUCCCGUGAACCAUCGAGUUUUUGAACGCAAGUUGCGCCCGAAGCCAUUCGGUCGAGGGCACGUCUGCCUGGGCGUCACGCA